Molecule: ribosomal RNA, 305 nt
Filed under: uncultured bacterium
Lineage: Bacteria
Description: bacterial SSU rRNA
Rfam family: Bacterial small subunit ribosomal RNA
Source: RNAcentral
UUACCCUACGGGGGGCAGCAGUGGGGGAUAUUGGACAAUGGGGGGAACCCUGAUCCAGCGACGCCGCGUGAGUGAAGAAGUAUUUCGGUAUGUAAAGCUCUGUCAGCAGGGAAGAAAGCAAUGACGGUACCUGACCAAGAAGCCCCGGCUAACUACGUGCCAGCAGCCGCGGUAAUACGUAGGGGGCAAGCGUUAUCCGGAUUUACUGGGUGUAAAGGGAGCGUAGACGGUGCGCCAAGUCUGGAGUGAAACGCCGCAGCUUAACUGCGGAACUGCUUUGGAAACUGGCGAACUAGAGUGCGGGG